This is a long non-coding RNA of Oncorhynchus tshawytscha (Chinook salmon), 902 nucleotides long. Lineage: Eukaryota; Metazoa; Chordata; Actinopteri; Salmoniformes; Salmonidae. The record is from Ensembl.
GUUUUAUACACUGCUCUGAUAGGUUAGUUUAAUACACUGCUCUGAUAGGGUAGUUUAAUACACUGCUCUGAUAGGUUAGUUUUAUACACUGCUCUGAUAGGAUAGUCUGAUAGGUUAGUUUUAUACACUGCUCUGAUAGGUUAGUUUUAUACACUGCUCUGAUAGGAUAGUCUGAUAGGUUAGUUUAAUACACUGCUCUGAUAGGUUAGUUUAAUACACUGCUCUGAUAGGAUAGUUUUAUACACUGCUCUGAUAGGGUAGUUUAAUACACUGCUCUGAAGACUGUUGAUGCCAUUGGAGAUCCACAAACUGACUGUGGAAUGUUUUGGUUCCUGAUAUAUGUAGGGGUCAAAUCUGAAGCCCUAUUCUCUAUGUAGUGCACUAAGGGGAUAGUAGGGGUCAAAUCUGAAGCCCUAUUCUCUAUGUAGUGCACUAAGGGGAUAGUAGGGGUCAAAUCUGAAGCCCUAUUCUCUAUGUAGUGCACUAAGGGGAUAGUAGGGGUCAAAUCUGAAGCCCUAUUCUCUAUGUAGUGCACUAAGGGCAUAGUAGGGGUCAAAUCUGAAGCCCUAUUCUCUAUGUAGUGCACUAAGGGGAUAGUAGGGGUCAAAUCUGAAGCCCUAUUCUCUAUGUAGUGCACUAAGGGGAUAGUAGGGGUCAAAUCUGAAGCCCUAUUCUCUAUGUAGUGCACUAAGGGGACAGUAGGGGUAAAAUCUGAAGCCCUAUUCUCUAUGUAGUGCACUAAGGGGAUAGUAGGGGUCAAAUCUGAAGCCCUAUUCUCUAUGUAGUGCACUAAGGGGAUAGUAGGGGUCAAAUCUGAAGCCCUAUUCUCUAUGUAGUGCACUAAGGGGAUAGUAGGGGUCAAAUCUGAAGCCCUAUUCUCUAUGUAGUGCACUAAGGGCAUA